UCCACUGCUCCAACAGAGGGCAGGGCCUCCCCAUCCCUGUCAUUGCUUCCUGGUGCCUGAGCUGCAGCUUCUCACACCCUCCUUAAAAUGAGUCUCUGGGUGUAAAUUUGUUUUUUUCAGUUCUUGCCCUGAGUGGUUGAUGUGUUCAUUAAAAAGUUGAAGAUCCUAAGUUUUGAGAGGAAUAAAUGGAAUCAUCAAGAAGUUUCCAGAACCCA
Molecule: long non-coding RNA, 215 nt
Organism: Phyllostomus discolor (pale spear-nosed bat)
Lineage: Eukaryota; Metazoa; Chordata; Mammalia; Chiroptera; Phyllostomidae
Exons: 3
Source: RefSeq, a predicted model, not a curated record